GAAAAAAAGACCUUGAGGAAAAAACAGAAAUGUCAUGACAGAGAGCGCAGCGGCAUUCACAUCGCGUAUCAACUCCUUCCUCCCUUGGCUGACACUGGUUUUGUGGGAGAUUACGUGUGGCCCCAGCAGCAUGAAGCAGAGCAGAUACACAGCCUGUGUUGGCCAACAAGGGUUGAUGAAAUUAGGUCCACUGAUUAGGGCCACCUGACAAAGUCUAGAACAAGGGAACUGCUGUGUCUAGGGAACCACUGUAGGGAACCACUUUUCCUUGGCCUGGUUCCCUACUUAAUUCUUAGCAUGGCACUCCUGUAAGGUUUCUCAGACCAUCAGGUGCAUGAGGAGGCAGGGCAGCCAGUUGGGAGCAGGGAGAAGGUGAUGUCCUGCACCAGACAUUGUUUUUAGCAGUGGCAUUCGCCUGGUAUGGGGAGUUCAUGGUGCCAUCAGUACGAGGCCUCUGGCCAGCUGUGGGCUGAAUGCCCAGGUGCCUCCUGCCUCACAGCCACCCGGUAGGAACCUGAAAUGCUUCCAACAUCUAGGAGGGAGCUAUGCUGCUGGUACUGAGAUUUGGGAACAGAAGGAGGAGAACAAUCUGUGCAAAAGGCCAUGACCAGCCCAUGAUGGAGAAGACGAGUCUGUCACCGGGUUACCAAGAAAAAAGUCUUCCUGUAUUCAGCACAGUGACAAACCUAAUGCUAGAAAAGCAUAUCUGAAAGGAAGUUUUGAGAUAAAGUAACCCUCUAAUGGCAUUAACUCACAUUCAUCUCACUGGAGACUACCUCGGGCUGAGCUGGCAUACUGACACAGCUUCGUGUGUCAUCAGAGCAGCUGCUUUCAGACUGUAUGUUCAUGCUGAAAAUGUGUUAGCUCUGUAUGAGACUGGCAAGUUAUUAAUCAUCAUCAUUUAUUUAUGUAUUUACUUAAGAUUACACUUCGGUUUCCCUCUGCUUUCCACUCAAGCCUGCUGUUCUGUGUGGAUUUCCUAUUUAGAUUGGGGAGAUGUGGUGAGUAUACUUGGAAAAUCAGAGUGUGACAGUUUGUACCCUGACCUUGAUGCAAUAAUAUAUUAAUUUAUUCAACUGUAAGGAUUUAUUACAUAUGCUCAUUACUUGAAUAUCCCCUUUGUGAAGAAUGCUUGAAAAUAAUUUUAA
This is a long non-coding RNA of Anas platyrhynchos (mallard), 1148 nucleotides long. RefSeq lists it as uncharacterized. The record is from RefSeq and is a predicted model, not a curated record. NCBI's taxonomy places the organism in Eukaryota, Metazoa, Chordata, Aves, Anseriformes, Anatidae.